GCAAACCUCUCCCCCGCUUUCUCUGCUGAGGAGGGAAAAGGGGAUGUGCAGUAAAAUUCCGUCUCUGGGACAGGUGCCAGCUCCUAGACAAAAGAAGUAAAAUAGGCGGUAAAGAGGGGAGGGGGGGAAAUUAAUAGCCAACAAAAAUAGGAAUCGAAAAUCUCGGAGAGGCAGCGCUGGUGAAAGUGAUGUUGCCUAACUCGCCAUUUUUUUUCUCCCCUGAAUAUUUGCUUAGCCAUGGGUUGAAAGGAGAAAGUUGAGGCAUACUUUUUAUUCAUGUCUUCUCUGCAGACAUUUGAAAGCGUAAAGGGAGGGUGGAGGAUGUCUUUUUUUCUCUCUCUCUCUCUCCCUCCUCUCUCUCUCUCUCUCUCYCUCCCUCUCCUGAAUUAUUCAUAGUGUCAGUGGUGAAGCCAGGACUAUUAGCAUGCAUCAGACAUGCUGUUUGUCUGUUUGCUAACAUUCUUCAUUCAAGACUUGUUAACUACCAGACAAGCUUAACACGCUUCUCUUUUUCCCCUCCCCUUCCCUCUCCCUGUGUCUCUGUCACUGCGCGCCUGCCUCCCCUCAUUUCUGCCUUCCCUUGCCUUGCCUUUCAUGCCACCCCUCUCAGCCUCCCAUUGUUGUUGCCGAGAGCUGGCAGCCAGGGGUGGCGGUGGCAGGGGAAGCAUGCGGACGAGGAGCCGGAGCCCGGUUGCUAGCAUACUAGCCUGGAUGCAAUCUCCCUGUAAGGAGUGUGAAAUGUACAGCUGCAAAACUACAGUUUUAAGCAAAAAAAAAAGCUCUUCCUCAUCUGAACCAUCAUUCAAAACACAAGAUGAAAGUAGCUGAAGAAAAGUUGUUUAUGAUAUCAUCUGCAGGACUCCUAGAAAAUUCUUUGGAAACUUGGGCAUGUCUGUCUCAGGCUGCCCCUAAAAAAAAUGAAGUAUUAAUCUGGCAAGAUGAAAUCAAGAUGCACAAAGAGAAGAUAUUAGAGACUAUUCUGCAAGGUGUUCAGAUAGAAUGCCUGACUGGGGAACCCUUGCUAACCAAGUCAGAAGAUGAAAGAACUGAAGACUGGUCAUCUGUGCAGAGGAAAUGACAAGGCCUCGUCUGCCCUGGAUGCUGGCCUCCCCCUGCUUUCCGAGCAGAGUGAUCUGGUGUCCAUCGUUGCUGCCCGGGAGAGCACGGGAAGGCGGCGCAGCAGGAGUUACUCGGCUGCGGCUCCUCGCAGCCCUGCGUGCGGCGCUUCG
Molecule: long non-coding RNA, 1229 nt
Organism: Apteryx owenii (little spotted kiwi)
Lineage: Eukaryota; Metazoa; Chordata; Aves; Apterygiformes; Apterygidae
Source: Ensembl